CUAAAGGUGUAUGGAGGAAGACGUAAGUGAUGGUGAACUAAAGGUGUAUGGAGGAAGACGUAGGUGAUGAUGAACUAAAGGUGUAUGGAGGAAGACGUAGGUGAUGAUGAACUAAAGGUGUAUGGAGGAAGACGUAUGUGAUGAUGAACUAAAGGUGUAUGGAGGAAGACGUAGAUGAUGAUGAACUAAAUGUGUAUGGAGGAAGACGUAGGUGAUGAUGAACUAAAGGUGUAUGGAGGAAGACGUAGGUGAUGAUGAACUAAAGGUUUAUGGAGGAAGACGUAGGUGAUGAUGAACUAAAGGUGUAUGGAGGAAGACGUAUGUGAUGAUGAUCUAAAGUUGUAUGGAGGAAGACGUAGGUGAUGAUGAACUAAAGGUGUAUGGAGGAAGACGUAGAUGAUGAUGAACUAAAGGUGUAUGGAGGAAGACGUAGGUGAUGAUGAACUAAAUGUGUAUGGAGGAAGACGUAGUUGAUGAUGAACUAAAGGUGUAUGGAGGAAGACGUAGGUGAUGAUGAACUAAAGGUUUAUGGAGGAAGACGUAGGUGAUGAUUAACUAAAGGUUUAUGGAGGAAGACGUAGGUGAUGAUGAACUAAAGGUGUAUGGAGGAAGACGUAGAUGAUGAUGAACUAAAGGUGUAUGGAGGAAGACGUAGGUGAUGAUGACCUAAAGGUAUAUGGAGGAAGACGUAGAUGAUGAUGACCUAAAGGUAUAUGGAGGAAGACGUAGAUGAUGAUGAACUUAAUGUGUAUGGAGGAAGACGUAGGUGAUGAACUAAGGAGCUGAGGAGUAAGGAAGACGUAGGUGAUGAUGAACUAAAGUAGCAAAGGCGUAA
Molecule: long non-coding RNA, 835 nt
Organism: Nematostella vectensis (starlet sea anemone)
Lineage: Eukaryota; Metazoa; Cnidaria; Anthozoa; Actiniaria; Edwardsiidae
Exons: 2
Source: RefSeq, a predicted model, not a curated record